This 499-nucleotide long non-coding RNA is filed under the name Callithrix jacchus (white-tufted-ear marmoset). RNAcentral's name for it is "lncRNA (ENSCJAG00000086995.1)". The record is from RNAcentral. Lineage: Eukaryota; Metazoa; Chordata; Mammalia; Primates; Cebidae.
CAAUAUUGCUUCAGGAAAGGUUUUAGAUGUAUUGCUAACCUCAAUAGCUCAAGGAGGUCUUAGAAUCGUCAAUCACAUCAAAAAGUGUUUGAUAAGUGCCAAGCUCUUUGUCCUGAUGCUGUGCAAGGAAGUCAAAAGAACAGGGAGUAGAAAUGAAGAAGAGAAGAGAAGAGGAGAUGGAGAUGACGUGGGCCAUUCUCACGACUCUUCCUUGAAUGCCUGCAUUUUCUGCCAUGCUGAAGGUUCUGUUUCUCCAUGUUUUCUUUCUGUCUUUCCCAGAGAGGUGCUGAGUAGCAAAUCAAAAUGCGUGGAUCCUACCAGGUCAAUCUUUGUUGUUACCAAUGCUGAAUGUAUAGAAGUUAUUCAAUCACUUUUAAUUUUUGUUAUUUCCACUUUAAAGAAUCAAGUUUGUUCUUUAAGGUCCUUUUGUAGGUUUAAAUCUGCAAUUAUUUUCUAUUCUCUCUCUUUUUAUGGCUAUCCUUGUACCUUUGUUGUUUAA